UCACCCCUCAAGCCCCCGGCUUGGUGUUGGAUGGUUUGGCGGAGGCCCCUCUCGGGGGCUCCCGCCCCUCCCAAAGACAAUGACGGCGGCCUCGUUAGACCCCCGGUACACUGAGUUCUUCACGGGACACGUACUGGAGUAAGGGUACACGGGGCACGGUCUGCCUCCCCUUCCAGGGAGAAUUUAUUUACAA
Molecule: unclassified non-coding RNA, 193 nt
Filed under: Veronaea compacta
Lineage: Eukaryota; Fungi; Ascomycota; Eurotiomycetes; Chaetothyriales; Herpotrichiellaceae
Also listed under: 2 other names
Description: sequence contains ITS2
Source: RNAcentral